UACGUAGGGCGCAAGCGUUGUCCGGAAUUAUUGGGCGUAAAGAGCUCGUAGGUGGCGUGUCGCGUCUGCCGUGAAAGCCCAUGGCUUAACUGUGGGUCUGCGGUGGAUACGGGCAGGCUGGAGGCUGGUAGGGGUAAGCGGAACUGAUGGUGGAGCGGUGAAAUGCGUAGAUAUCGGAAGGAACGCCGGUGGCGAAAGCGGGUCUCUGGGCCGAUACUGACGCUGAGGAGCGAAAGCGUGGGAGCGAACAGG
Molecule: ribosomal RNA, 252 nt
Filed under: uncultured bacterium
Lineage: Bacteria
Description: partial 16S ribosomal RNA
Rfam family: Bacterial small subunit ribosomal RNA
Source: RNAcentral